RNAcentral lists this ribosomal RNA (468 nucleotides) under uncultured bacterium. RNAcentral describes it as "partial 16S ribosomal RNA". It matches the Rfam family "Bacterial small subunit ribosomal RNA", at positions 28 to 507 of the family's 1533-position model. The record is from RNAcentral.
GACGAACGCUGGCGGCGUGCUUAACACAUGCAAGUCGAACGGAAAGGCCCUGCUUUUGUGGUGUGCUCGAGUGGCGAAAGGGUGAGUAACACGUGAAUAACCUGCCCUUGACUUUGGGAUAACUUCAGGAAACUGGGGCUAAUACCGGAUAGGAGCUCCUGCUGCAUGGUGGGGGUUGGAAAGUUUCGGCGGUUGGGGAUGGACUCGCGGCUUAUCAGCUUGUCGGUGGGGUAGUGGCUUACCAAGGCUUUGACGGGUAGCCGGCCUGAGAGGGUGACCGGCCACAUUGGGACUGCGAUACGGCCCAGAAUCCUACGGGAGGCAGCAGUGGGGAAUAUUGCCCAAUGGGAGGAAGCCUGAUGCAGCAACGCCGCCUGCGGGAUGACGGCCUUCGGGUUGUAACCCGCUUUCGCCUGUGACGAAGCGUGAGUGACGGUAAUGGGUAAAGAAGCACCGGCUAACUACGUG